AACGAACGCUGGCGGCAUGCCUAACACAUGCAAGUCGAACGAGACCUUCGGGUCUAGUGGCGCACGGGUGCGUAACGCGUGGGAACCUGCCCUUAGGUUCGGAAUAACUCCCCGAAAGGGGUGCUAAUACCGGAUAAUGUCUUCGGACCAAAGAUUUAUCACCUUUGGAUGGGCCCGCGUUGGAUUAGCUAGUUGGUAGUGUAAAAGCCUACCAAGGCGACGAUCCAUAGCUGGUCUGAGAGGAGGAUCAGCCACACUGGGACUGAGACACGGCCCAGACUCCUACGGGAGGCAGCAGUGGGGAAUAUUGGACAAUGGGCGAAAGCCUGAUCCAGCAAUGCCGCGGGAGUGAUGAAGGCCUUAGGGUUGUAAAGCUCUUUUACCCGGGAUGAUAAUGACAGUACCGGGAGAAUAAGCUCCGGCUAACUCCGUG
This 433-nucleotide ribosomal RNA is filed under the name uncultured bacterium. Its description in RNAcentral is "partial 16S ribosomal RNA". It matches the Rfam family "Bacterial small subunit ribosomal RNA", at positions 29 to 507 of the family's 1533-position model. The record is from RNAcentral.